UACGGGGGGGGCAAGCGUUGUUCGGAAUUACUGGGCGUAAAGGGCUCGUAGGUGGCCAACUAAGUCAGACGUGAAAUCCCUCAGCUUAACUGGGGAACUGCAUCUGAUACUGGAUGGCUUGAGUUUGGGAGAGGGAUGCGGAAUUCCAGGUGUAGCGGUGAAAUGCGUAGAUAUCUGGAGGAACACCGGUGGCGAAGGCGGCAUCCUGGACCAACACUGACACUGAGGAGCGAAAGCCAGGGGAGCAAACGGG
This 253-nucleotide ribosomal RNA is filed under the name uncultured bacterium. RNAcentral's name for it is "partial 16S ribosomal RNA". It matches the Rfam family "Bacterial small subunit ribosomal RNA", at positions 524 to 776 of the family's 1533-position model. The record is from RNAcentral.